This 359-nucleotide ribosomal RNA is filed under the name Galaesus hasticornis. RNAcentral's name for it is "partial small subunit ribosomal RNA". Lineage: Eukaryota; Metazoa; Arthropoda; Insecta; Hemiptera; Coreidae. The record is from RNAcentral.
UAAACUUGUGAAUUAUUGAUUGAGAUUGAUUCUGUCUUUAUGUUUAUGGAUUUAGUUUUUGGGUAAUAUUAAAUAUGAGUUUUUGCGUGUUAAUAUAAUUAUCUAAAGGAUAAUUUAUUUUAUUAUUUGUAGUUUUUAUUUUUGGUUUAGAUACAUACUUGUAGUUCCAGUUAAUUCAAUUAGAAUUGUUUUAAGGUGUGCCAGCAAACGCGGUUAUACAUCUAAUUCAAAUUAAUUUUUUUGGUUAAUAUUUAUUUUGUUAUUUUGGGAUUUAAUUUUAAAUUUUGAGGUGAAAUUUUAAUUUAAUUUAUAUAUCCUUGGUUUAAUAUUAUAUGAAGUUUAGGAUUUAAACUAGGAUU